GACGAACGCUGGCGGCGUGCUUAACACAUGCAAGUCGAACGUGAUUUUUGUGGAAAUUCUUUCGGGAAUGGAAAUGAAAUGAAAGUGGCGAACGGGUGAGUAACACGCGAGCAACCUACCUUACACAGGGGGAUAGCCGUUGGAAACGACGAUUAAUACCGCAUGAGACCACAGAAUCGCAUGAUAUAGGGGUCAAAGAUUUAUCGGUGUAAGAAGGGCUCGCGUCUGAUUAGCUAGUUGGAAGGGUAAAGGCCUACCAAGGCGACGAUCAGUAGCCGGUCUGAGAGGAUGAACGGCCACAUUGGAACUGAGACACGGUCCAAACUCCUCGGGAGGCAGCAUUGUUGAAAUUUGAGAAUGGGGGUAACCCUGAUGCUGCCUCCCCCGCGUGAGCCAAGAGUGUGUUUGAACGUAAUUUUCUGUCUAUGUAUGAAGAGAUGGUGUGUGUGCAUGUGGAUGAAGGCCCUGUGAUGAAUAUGUGCUGCCGUGCGCUGUUGUUGUGUCUUGUGCUGGAGCGUGUGGUGAAAUUAGGGGGCUUCUGUGUGUGGUGGUGUGUGUUUUAUUUAAGUGUGUGGGGUGUUGGGUGUGUGUGUGUUAUGUUGUGUAUGUGUUGCAUUUAUUGUCGUGUGUUGGUGUGGUGCCUGUGGUGUCUUGUACUGGUGUGUGUUUGGUAGUGAGUGUUUGAGAUAUUGCCGCCCCAUCUGCCUGACGUGCUGCCUGUGCUGCUUUGGGGGUGGGGCCGUGUGUGUGUGUGAUGCUGCUGCGCCCCUGCUGCGCUGGGAUGUGUGUGGAAGUGGGGUGUGGGGGGUUGUGUGAGUGCUGCUGUUGGUGUUUAAGUAGUAGUAGUAACUGACUGAUGAGUGAUGUGUUUGUGCUCCUAGCCCUCAUGCUGCUUCCUGCCCUGUGUGCCCUGUGAGAUAGUAGUUAC
This 928-nucleotide ribosomal RNA is filed under the name uncultured Peptoniphilus sp. RNAcentral's name for it is "bacterial SSU rRNA". The stretch from base 1 to 496 matches the Rfam family "Bacterial small subunit ribosomal RNA", at positions 28 to 545 of the family's 1533-position model. The record is from RNAcentral. Lineage: Bacteria; Bacillati; Bacillota; Tissierellia; Tissierellales; Peptoniphilaceae.